CGGAGAAGGCUAUGUCAUCCGGGCGACGGUUGUCCCGGUUUAAGCGUGUAGGUGGGUAACUUUGGUAAAUCCGGGUUGCUAUUAAACACUGAGGCGUGAUGACGAGGUACUACGGUACUGAAGUGACAGAUGCCCAGCUGCCAGGAAAAGCCUCUAAGCAUCAGGUAACAUUGAAUCGUACCCCAAACCGACACAGGUGGUCAGGUAGAGAAUACCAAGGCGCUUGAGAGAACUCGGGUGAAGGAACUAGGCAAAAUGGUGCCGUAACUUCGGGAGAAGGCACGCUGUGCGAGGUGUAGGGACUUGCUCCUGAAGCUUUGCGCAGUCGCAGAUAC
Molecule: ribosomal RNA, 335 nt
Filed under: Candidatus Symbiopectobacterium sp. Chty_BC
Lineage: Bacteria; Pseudomonadati; Pseudomonadota; Gammaproteobacteria; Enterobacterales; Enterobacteriaceae
Description: partial 23S ribosomal RNA
Rfam family: Bacterial large subunit ribosomal RNA
Source: RNAcentral